GGGGUAUGUAGGUGUAUGUAGGUGUAUGUAGGUGUAGGUGUAUGUAGGUGUAUAUAGGUGUAUGUAGGUGUAGGUGUAUAUAGGUGUAUGUAGGUGUGUGUAGGUGUAGGUGUAUGUAGGGGUAUGUAGGUGUAGGUGUAUGUAUGUGUAUGUAGGUGUACGUGUAUGUAGGUGUAUGUAGGUGUAUGUAAGUGUAGGUGUAUGUAGGUGUAUGUAGGUGUAGGUGUAUGUAGGUGUAGGUGUAUGUAGGUGUGGGUGUAUGUAGGUGUAUGUAGGUGUAUGUAGGUGUAGGUGUAUGUAGGUGUAUGUAAGUGUAGUUGUAUGUAGGUGUAGGUGUAUGUAGGUGUAGGUGUAUGUAAGUAUAGGUGUAUGUAGGUGUAGGUGUAUGUAGGUGUAUGUAGGUGUAUGUAGGCGUAGGUGUAUGUAGGUGUAUUUAGGUGUAUGUAGGUAUAUUUAGGUGUAUGUAGGUGUAUGUAGGUGUAUGUAGGUGUUGGUGUA
Molecule: long non-coding RNA, 498 nt
Organism: Oncorhynchus tshawytscha (Chinook salmon)
Lineage: Eukaryota; Metazoa; Chordata; Actinopteri; Salmoniformes; Salmonidae
Source: Ensembl